Molecule: ribosomal RNA, 142 nt
Filed under: Dunaliella viridis
Lineage: Eukaryota; Viridiplantae; Chlorophyta; Chlorophyceae; Chlamydomonadales; Dunaliellaceae
Description: large subunit ribosomal RNA
Source: RNAcentral
AAGGAUACGAGCAUACUGCAAGGACCUCAUGAAUAUGGGAUUGGAAGCUUCCAUCAUAUAAUGAUCGCGUAUUAGCGCACAUGAAUAGCAGCAUGCUCCUACAUAUGUAUGGGAUACAAGUAACACCGAAGCAUACGUUCAA